Molecule: ribosomal RNA, 253 nt
Filed under: uncultured bacterium
Lineage: Bacteria
Description: partial 16S ribosomal RNA
Rfam family: Bacterial small subunit ribosomal RNA
Source: RNAcentral
UACGAAGGGGGCUAGCGUUGUUCGGAAUUACUGGGCGUAAAGCGCACGUAGGCGGACUACUAAGUCAGGGGUGAAAUCCCGGGGCUCAACCCCGGAACUGCCUUUGAUACUGAUAGUCUCGAGUCCGGGAGAGGUGAGUGGAAUUCCGAGUGUAGAGGUGAAAUUCGUAGAUAUUCGGAAGAACACCAGUGGCGAAGGCGGCUCACUGGACCGGCAUUGACGCUGAUGUGCGAAAGCGUGGGGAGCAAACAGG